GCAAGUCGAACGGGAACUCCAAGAUGAGACUUCGGUGGAUUUUUGGAAAUUCUAGUGGCGGACGGGUGAGUAACGCGUAGGGUAACCUGCCCUUAAGAGGUGAAUAACAGCGAGAAAUCGCUGCUUAAAUACACCAUAUGCUUACGGAAUCGCAUGAUUUUGUGAGGAAAGAAUUUCGCUUAAGGAUGGACCCGCCGUUUGAUUAGCCAGUUGGCAGGGUAACGGCCUACCAAAGCCAACGAUCAAUAGCCGGCCUGAGAGGGUGAACGGCCACAUUGGAACUGAGACACGGUCCAAACUCCUACGGGAGGCAGCAGUGGGGAGUAUUGCACAAUGGGCGCAAGCCUGAAUGCAGCAACGCCGCGUUGAGUGGAAGAAGUAUUUCGGUAUGUAAAGCUCUAUCGUAUGGGGAAUAAAAUGAAGGUACCCAAGUAAGAAGCCCCGGCUAACUACGUGCCAGCCGCCGC
RNAcentral lists this ribosomal RNA (467 nucleotides) under uncultured bacterium. Its description in RNAcentral is "bacterial SSU rRNA". It matches the Rfam family "Bacterial small subunit ribosomal RNA", at positions 57 to 518 of the family's 1533-position model. The record is from RNAcentral.